RNAcentral lists this ribosomal RNA (445 nucleotides) under soybean epiphytic bacterium EP283. Its description in RNAcentral is "bacterial SSU rRNA". It matches the Rfam family "Bacterial small subunit ribosomal RNA", at positions 889 to 1334 of the family's 1533-position model. The record is from RNAcentral.
CAAGGUUAAAACUCAAAUGAAUUGACGGGGGCCCGCACAAGCGGUGGAGCAUGUGGUUUAAUUCGAUGCAACGCGAAGAACCUUACCUACUCUUGACAUCCAGAGAACUUUCCAGAGAUGGAUUGGUGCCUUCGGGAACUCUGAGACAGGUGCUGCAUGGCUGUCGUCAGCUCGUGUUGUGAAAUGUUGGGUUAAGUCCCGCAACGAGCGCAACCCUUAUCCUUUGUUGCCAGCGGUUAGGCCGGGAACUCAAAGGAGACUGCCAGUGAUAAACUGGAGGAAGGUGGGGAUGACGUCAAGUCAUCAUGGCCCUUACGAGUAGGGCUACACACGUGCUACAAUGGCGCAUACAAAGAGAAGCGACCUCGCGAGAGCAAGCGGACCUCAUAAAGUGCGUCGUAGUCCGGAUUGGAGUCUGCAACUCGACUCCAUGAAGUCGGAAUCG